GUCGUCAGCUCGUGUCGUGAGAUGGUUGGGUUACGUCCGUACGGGCGCAACCCUUGUCCUUAGUUACCAGCACGUUAUGGUGGGCACUCUAAGGAGACUGCCGGUGACAAACCGGAGGAAGGUGGGGAUGACGUCAAGUCAUCAUGGCCCUUACGGCCUGGGCUACACACGUGCUACAAUGGUCGGUACAAAGGGUUGCCAAGCCGCGAGGUGGAGCUAAUCCCAUAAAACCGAUCGUAGUCCGGAUCGCAGUCUGCAACUCGACUGCGUGAAGUCGGAAUCGCUAGUAAUCGUGAAUCAGAAUGUCACGGUGAAUACGUUCCCGGGCCUU
This 331-nucleotide ribosomal RNA is filed under the name uncultured Pseudomonas sp. RNAcentral describes it as "bacterial SSU rRNA". It matches the Rfam family "Bacterial small subunit ribosomal RNA", at positions 1051 to 1382 of the family's 1533-position model. The record is from RNAcentral. Lineage: Bacteria; Pseudomonadati; Pseudomonadota; Gammaproteobacteria; Pseudomonadales; Pseudomonadaceae.